This 64-nucleotide transfer RNA is filed under the name Semibalanus cariosus. Its description in RNAcentral is "tRNA-Lys". It matches the Rfam family "tRNA". From Rfam's summary of the family: Transfer RNA (tRNA) molecules are approximately 80 nucleotides in length. The record is from RNAcentral. Lineage: Eukaryota; Metazoa; Arthropoda; Thecostraca; Balanomorpha; Balanidae.
AUAUAGUAGCUUAAUUUAAAGCAUUAAACUUUUAAUUUAAAUAUGAGAGUUUCUCCUGUGUGGU